RNAcentral lists this ribosomal RNA (415 nucleotides) under uncultured crenarchaeote. RNAcentral's name for it is "partial 16S ribosomal RNA". It matches the Rfam family "Archaeal small subunit ribosomal RNA", at positions 330 to 747 of the family's 1478-position model. Lineage: Archaea; Thermoproteati; Thermoproteota. The record is from RNAcentral.
GUGCAGCAGUCGCGAAAACUCCGCAAUACGCGAAAGCGUGACGGGGCUACCCCGAGUGUCGUCCGCUGAGGACGACUUUUCCACGCAGUAAGGAGGCGUGGGAAUAAGGAGAGGGCAAGUCUGGUGUCAGCCGCCGCGGUAAUACCAGCUCUCCGAGUGGUAGGGACGAUUAUUGGGCUUAAAGCGUCCGUAGCCGGCUCAGCAAGUCUCCCUUUACAUCCAGCGAUUCAAUCGUUGGACUGCGGGAGAUACUGUUAGGCUAGGGGGCGGGAGAAGCCGACGGUAUUUCCGGGGUAGGGGUAAAAUCCUAUAAUCCCGGGAAGACCACCAGUGGCGUAGGCGGUCGGCUAGCACGCGCUCGACAGUGAGGGACGAAAGCUGGGGGAGCGAAUCGGAUUAGAUACCCCUGUAGUCC